UACAGAGGGUGCGAGCGUUAAUCGGAUUUACUGGGCGUAAAGCGUGCGUAGGAGGCUUGUUAAGUCGGAUGUGAAAUCCCCGGGCUCAACCUGGGAAUUGCAUUCGAUACUGGCAAGCUAGAGUUCGGUAGAGGGUGGCGGAAUUUCCGGUGUAGCGGUGAAAUGCGUAGAUAUCGGAAGGAACACCAAUGGCGAAGGCAGCCACCUGGGCCUGAACUGACUCUGAGGCACGAAAGCGUGGGGAG
Molecule: ribosomal RNA, 245 nt
Filed under: uncultured Algiphilus sp.
Lineage: Bacteria; Pseudomonadati; Pseudomonadota; Gammaproteobacteria; Nevskiales; Algiphilaceae
Description: partial 16S ribosomal RNA
Rfam family: Bacterial small subunit ribosomal RNA
Source: RNAcentral